AUGUGUGUGCGCGCACACACACACACACACACACACACACCCAGCUCUCAAGUCCUUGUAGGACCAUGUCCACCCCAUCCACCCCCCAAGCCUCUUCUCCACCCAGGCCUAGUUCCACAGGCCCUCCCCUCCCCCAUUUCCUGGGGUGUCCCCAGAGGCCCCUCCUACCCAAGGAUGGAUCUGAAGGUCGGUUCUGGAAAGGAACCUGGGGAAACAACUUCAGGAGGAGACGGAUGUCCGAGCCCGAGCUACCAUGGUGAGGUCCUGCCGGAGAGACCCCCGUGGAGAUGAGCCUGAAGCCACCUUAGGACCUUCAAGCCCUAACUGACCUCCAGCUGACUGCAGCCACGAGCGACCCCAGCUACAUGGGAGCAGAAGAAACAGCUGAGCUCAGCCAACGCACGGACCUGUGGGAAAUAAUAAAGCAUUGUGUUUUUUUUAAUGUUUUGAGAGA
Molecule: long non-coding RNA, 454 nt
Filed under: Felis catus (domestic cat)
Lineage: Eukaryota; Metazoa; Chordata; Mammalia; Carnivora; Felidae
Description: lncRNA (ENSFCAG00000050954.1)
Source: RNAcentral